RNAcentral lists this small RNA (29 nucleotides) under Bombyx mori (domestic silkworm). RNAcentral's name for it is "ovarian small RNA-4037". The record is from RNAcentral. Lineage: Eukaryota; Metazoa; Arthropoda; Insecta; Lepidoptera; Bombycidae.
UUCGAUAUGCCCGAAGCCCUAAGUCUUCA